UGAGGGUCGAACGAUGAAGCCCUUCGGGGUGGAUUAGUGGCGAACGGGUGAGUAACACGUGGGCAAUCUGCCCUGCACUCUGGGACAAGCCCUGGAAACGGGGUCUAAUACCGGAUAUGACUGUCCACCGCAUGGUGGAUGGUGUAAAGCUCCGGCGGUGCAGGAUGAGCCCGCGGCCUAUCAGCUUGUUGGUGAGGUAGUGGCUCACCAAGGCGACGACGGGUAGCCGGCCUGAGAGGGCGACCGGCCACACUGGGACUGAGACACGGCCCAGACUCCUACGGGAGGCAGCAGUGGGGAAUAUUGCACAAUGGGCGAAAGCCUGAUGCAGCGACGCCGCGUGAGGGAUGACGGCCUUCGGGUUGUAAACCUCUUUCAGCAGGGAAGAAGCGAAAGUGACGGUACCUGCAGAAGAAGCGCCGGCUAACUACGUGCCAGCAGCCGCGGUAAUACGUAAGGCGCAAGCGUUGUCCGGAAUUAUUGGGCGUAAAGAGCUCGUAGGCGGGCUUGUCACGUCGGUUGUGAAAGCCCGGGGCUUAACCCCCGGUCUGCAGUCGAUACGGGCAGGCUAUAGUUCGGUAGGGGGAGAUCGGAAUUUCUGGUGUAAGCGGUGAAAUGCGCCAGAUAUCAGGAGGAAACACC
Molecule: ribosomal RNA, 642 nt
Filed under: Streptomyces sp. 6G7
Lineage: Bacteria; Bacillati; Actinomycetota; Actinomycetes; Kitasatosporales; Streptomycetaceae
Description: bacterial SSU rRNA
Rfam family: Bacterial small subunit ribosomal RNA
Source: RNAcentral